GGGGGGACGCCCAAACCACAUCAGUUUGGCAAUAGGUACUGGUCAGAGCCGGAGACCAGGAUGACCCUGCGCCCUCCGCUGAGGUGUAGAGUGACCAGCGAGGGGAACUCCAGGGUAAAACAGAGUGGCAACCCCUAAGGACCUGGGGGACAAACAGCACAAAGAUCCUUUAAUGAAGCAUUUUCAGAGCUUAGGAUAUUUCCAACAAAAUAUUUUCCCCAAAAGAUGUCUUUAAUAAUACUGGAUGCGUUGAUUUUAAGAGGGUCCUAAAGAGACACGUUUGAGUCACCGGUCUCUCUCCCGUGUACUGGUAUUUUCAAUACAUAAUGUCUGGAGCAGAGCAUGGAAAUGGCCUGAAAAUAGCCUCUCCUUUGCAUGCAGGAACACACAGAUGAGAGGAUGUGUCUUCAGGAGCAAGGGAUUUUGAAACAUAUUAAGAAAUCAGAAAUAAUCGACUUCAAAGUGCCACACACCUUGAUGACGUGCACAUCAGUGGGCAUUGAUUUUGUGACUUUGCCAAGUACACAGAAAGUCGCCCCUUCCUCCCACCUGCACUGUGGAAAGUAGUUGAACCUGAGGGGCGAGAGAAGGAGAAGAAAGGCUGCAAUUUUCCCGGAGCCUUUGUGAUGAUUUGAAUAUCUAGGAUUUGAAUAUUCAUUCAUUCCAACCUAAAGUUCGUACAGUGUUGGGCAUGUCUCUUGCCGCCAGCUGUGUGGUGGGCAGUGUGGGGUGUGAAGCCUCGUAACGCCUGUACUGACUGACUGUGCCUGGGCUGCUGAUUGUCCGACUUCCUUCUCCAUCCCACUACAUGGAUGAAUACAGGUAAGGUGUGAACUUCGUAGUCUUCAGAACAAGCCUGAUAUACAAUGCAAUCUUUGCUGCUAUCAAAUGUGAUCUAAACAUCUUAACUCUUCAAUGAACACUGAUGAGUUCUGUGAUUAAUAUACUUUAGAGCAACACUAGGACACUUGAUGCAAGCUG
This 981-nucleotide long non-coding RNA is filed under the name Macaca mulatta (Rhesus monkey). Its description in RNAcentral is "lncRNA (ENSMMUG00000057305.1)". Lineage: Eukaryota; Metazoa; Chordata; Mammalia; Primates; Cercopithecidae. The record is from RNAcentral.